CUCCGGGUUGCGGACGGCGUACAUGCGGGCGAUCCGGCCGUCCUCGACGACGAAGGUGACCGCGGUGUCGAACUCGCCGCCCGGGUC
RNAcentral lists this transfer RNA (87 nucleotides) under Modestobacter marinus. RNAcentral describes it as "tRNA-Arg". Lineage: Bacteria; Bacillati; Actinomycetota; Actinomycetes; Geodermatophilales; Geodermatophilaceae. The record is from RNAcentral.